GGAUUGUGGCUUAGUGGUAGAGACCUUGCCUAGCAUGUACAAGGCACUGGGUUCAAUCCUCAGCACCA
This 68-nucleotide transfer RNA is filed under the name Marmota monax (woodchuck). RNAcentral's name for it is "tRNA.Ala". Lineage: Eukaryota; Metazoa; Chordata; Mammalia; Rodentia; Sciuridae. The record is from RNAcentral.